This 206-nucleotide ribosomal RNA is filed under the name uncultured bacterium. RNAcentral describes it as "partial 16S ribosomal RNA". It matches the Rfam family "Bacterial small subunit ribosomal RNA", at positions 568 to 774 of the family's 1533-position model. The record is from RNAcentral.
UGCGUAGGCGGGUCUUUAAGUCAGGGGUGAAAUCCUGGAGCUCAACUCCAGAACUGCCUUUGAUACUGAAGAUCUUGAGUUCGGGAGAGGUGAGUGGAACUGCGAGUGUAGAGGUGAAAUUCGUAGGUAUUCGCAAGAACACCAGUGGCGAAGGCGGCUCACUGGCCCGAUACUGACGCUGAGGCACGAAAGCGUGGGAGCAAACA